Molecule: ribosomal RNA, 305 nt
Filed under: uncultured bacterium
Lineage: Bacteria
Description: bacterial SSU rRNA
Rfam family: Bacterial small subunit ribosomal RNA
Source: RNAcentral
UCCUACGGGGGGCAGCAGUGAGGAAUAUUGGUCAAUGGGCGGAAGCCUGAACCAGCCAAGUCGCGUGAGGGAAUAAGGCCCUAGGGGUCGUAAACCUCUUUUGCCGGGGAGCAAGGGCGGGGACGUGUCCCGGCCCGGAGAGUACCCGGAGAAAAAGCAUCGGCUAACUCCGUGCCAGCAGCCGCGGUAAUACGGAGGGCGCGAGCGUUAAUCGGAAUUACUGGGCGUAAAGCGCGCGUAGGCUGUUGUGUAAGUUGGGGGUGAAAUCCCACGGCUCAACCGUGGAACAGCCCUUGAUACUGCGG